GGGGAAUAUUGGACAAUGGGGGCAACCCUGAUCCAGCCAUGCCGCGUGUGUGAAGAAGGCCUUCGGGUUGUAAAGCACUUUAAGCGGGGAGGAAGGCCUUGGGAUUAAUACUCCCGAGGAUUGACGUUACCCGCAGAAUAAGCACCGGCUAACUCUGUGCCAGCAGCCGCGGUAAUACAGAGGGUGCAAGCGUUAAUCGGAAUUACUGGGCGUAAAGCGCGCGUAGGCGGUUUGUUAAGUCGGAUGUGAAAUCCCCGGGCUCGACCUGGGCACGGCAUCCGAUACUGGCUGACUAGAGUGUGGGAGAGGAAGGUAGAAUUCCAGGUGUAGCGGUGAAAUGCGUAGAGAUCUGGAGGAAUACCGAUGGCGAAGGCAGCCUUCUGGCCUAACACUGACGCUGAGGUGCGAAAGCAUGGGGAGCAAAC
RNAcentral lists this ribosomal RNA (425 nucleotides) under uncultured bacterium. Its description in RNAcentral is "bacterial SSU rRNA". It matches the Rfam family "Bacterial small subunit ribosomal RNA", at positions 356 to 773 of the family's 1533-position model. The record is from RNAcentral.